UACAGAGUGAUUUUGACUGUCUUCUUCCCUGGGGUGUGCGGGUGUGCUGAGGCUGCUGAUUCUUUGCAAGAGUGUGGUACACGGCUGGGUCGUGGUCUGGGGAGCUGCCGGUGUAGAGCCACCGCUACUUAGUAGAGUUACCAGAGGCCCAAGCAGUGAGGCUACAACCGACCAGCCUGUGACCAACAGCAGACCCGUUCCUGUUGUGUUUGGCUUCGCCCACACAGGAAGACGAAGUUGAGCACACCCAGCCACGACGAACUGCAGAAGAGGAUACUGCGGUUCCUUCAGUCCAAGCUCAUCUUGAUUCUUCAGAGAUGCCCAUUCUGCCCUGCUUUGCUCCACAGACUACAACAGUUGAAUCUUGGCAUUGGACCCCUACACCUGUCCAUCAACCAGGUCAAAAGGUGUUUUGUGUGGCCGUGGCGCUACGCUCACUGUCUCUCUCGCCACCUGAUCACCUGCACACCGGCCUGAUUACUUACCCAUCUGCAAUCCAUCAGCCCAGCAGUAUAUCAACCCUGGUUAUUCAU
Micropterus salmoides (largemouth bass) is the source of this 533-nucleotide long non-coding RNA. RefSeq lists it as uncharacterized. The record is from RefSeq and is a predicted model, not a curated record. NCBI's taxonomy places the organism in Eukaryota, Metazoa, Chordata, Actinopteri, Centrarchiformes, Centrarchidae. The transcript is spliced from 4 exons.